GACGAACGCUGGCGGCGUGCCUAAUACAUGCAAGUUGAGCGAUGAAGCUUGGUGCUUGCACCAAUUUGAAGAGCAGCGAACGGGUGAGUAACGCGUGGGGAAUCUGCCUUUGAGCGGGGGACAACAUUUGGAAACGAAUGCUAAUACCGCAUAACAACUUUAAACAUAAGUUUUAAGUUUGAAAGAUGCAAUUGCAUCACUCAAAGAUGAUCCCGCGUUGUAUUAGCUAGUUGGUGAGGUAAAGGCUCACCAAGGCGAUGAUACAUAGCCGACCUGAGAGGGUGAUCGGCAACAUUGGGACUGAGACACGGCCCAAACACCUACGGGAGGCAGCAGUAGGGAAUCUUCGGCAAUGGACGAAAGUCUGACCGAGCAACGCCGCGUGAGUGAAGAAGGUUUUCGGAUCGUAAAAGUCUGUUGGUAGAGAAGAACGUUGGUGAGAGUGGAAAGCUCAUCAAGUGACGGUAACUACCCAGAAAGGGACGGCUAACUACGUG
This 497-nucleotide ribosomal RNA is filed under the name uncultured bacterium. RNAcentral's name for it is "partial 16S ribosomal RNA". It matches the Rfam family "Bacterial small subunit ribosomal RNA", at positions 28 to 507 of the family's 1533-position model. The record is from RNAcentral.